GAAAUGCGAUAAGUAGUGUGAAUUGCAGAAUUCAGUGAAUCAUCGAAUCUUUGAACGCACAUUGCGCCCGCCAGCACUCUGGCGGGCAUGCCUGUUCGAGCGUCAUUUCAACCCUCAGAACCCCUUGCGGGAUCUGGCGUUGGGGAUUGGCAUCCAGCCAGCCCCGAAAUCUAGUGGCGGUCCCUCCGCGACCUCCCCUGUGCAGUAGCGAUACCUAGCAGCGGGACAGCGGUCUGACCACGCCGUAAAACCCCCAACUUCUCAAGGUUGACCUCGAAUCAGGUAGGAAUACCCGCUGAACUUAAGC
RNAcentral lists this unclassified non-coding RNA (307 nucleotides) under plant metagenome. RNAcentral's name for it is "partial contains 5.8S ribosomal RNA, internal transcribed spacer 2, and large subunit ribosomal RNA". The stretch from base 1 to 105 matches the Rfam family "5.8S ribosomal RNA", at positions 50 to 154 of the family's 154-position model. The record is from RNAcentral.